Molecule: ribosomal RNA, 1197 nt
Filed under: Chryseobacterium sp.
Lineage: Bacteria; Pseudomonadati; Bacteroidota; Flavobacteriia; Flavobacteriales; Weeksellaceae
Description: bacterial SSU rRNA
Rfam family: Bacterial small subunit ribosomal RNA
Source: RNAcentral
ACCCCAUAAUAUACUGGAUGGCAUCAUUCGGUAUUGAAAACUCCGGUGGAUAGAGAUGGGCACGCGCAAGAUUAGAUAGUUGGUGAGGUAACGGCUCACCAAGUCUGCGAUCUUUAGGGGGCCUGAGAGGGUGAUCCCCCACACUGGUACUGAGACACGGACCAGACUCCUACGGGAGGCAGCAGUGAGGAAUAUUGGACAAUGGGUGAGAGCCUGAUCCAGCCAUCCCGCGUGAAGGACGACGGCCCUAUGGGUUGUAAACUUCUUUUGUAUAGGGAUAAACCUACUCUCGUGAGAGUAGCUGAAGGUACUAUACGAAUAAGCACCGGCUAACUCCGUGCCAGCAGCCGCGGUAAUACGGAGGGUGCAAGCGUUAUCCGGAUUUAUUGGGUUUAAAGGGUCCGUAGGCGGAUUUGUAAGUCAGUGGUGAAAUCUCACAGCUUAACUGUGAAACUGCCAUUGAUACUGCAAGUCUUGAGUGUUGUUGAAGUAGCUGGAAUAAGUAGUGUAGCGGUGAAAUGCAUAGAUAUUACUUAGAACACCAAUUGCGAAGGCAGGUUACUAAGCAACAACUGACGCUGAUGGACGAAAGCGUGGGGAGCGAACAGGAUUAGAUACCCUGGUAGUCCACGCCGUAAACGAUGCUAACUCGUUUUUGGGCUUUCGGGUUCAGAGACUAAGCGAAAGUGAUAAGUUAGCCACCUGGGGAGUACGAACGCAAGUUUGAAACUCAAAGGAAUUGACGGGGGCCCGCACAAGCGGUGGAUUAUGUGGUUUAAUUCGAUGAUACGCGAGGAACCUUACCAAGGCUUAAAUGGGAAAUGACAGGUUUAGAAAUAGACUUUUCUUCGGACAUUUUUCAAGGUGCUGCAUGGUUGUCGUCAGCUCGUGCCGUGAGGUGUUAGGUUAAGUCCUGCAACGAGCGCAACCCCUGUCACUAGUUGCCAUCAUUAAGUUGGGGACUCUAGUGAGACUGCCUACGCAAGUAGAGAGGAAGGUGGGGAUGACGUCAAAUCAUCACGGCCCUUACGCCUUGGGCCACACACGUAAUACAAUGGCCGGUACAGAGGGCAGCUACACAGCGAUGUGAUGCAAAUCUCGAAAGCCGGUCUCAGUUCGGAUUGGAGUCUGCAACUCGACUCUAUGAAGCUGGAAUCGCUAGUAAUCGCGCAUCAGCCAUGGCGCGGUGAAUACGUU